This 502-nucleotide ribosomal RNA is filed under the name uncultured bacterium. RNAcentral's name for it is "partial 16S ribosomal RNA". It matches the Rfam family "Bacterial small subunit ribosomal RNA", at positions 30 to 523 of the family's 1533-position model. The record is from RNAcentral.
AUUGAACGCUGGCGGCAGGCUUAACACAUGCAAGUCGAGCGGGGGAAGGUAGCUUGCUACCGGACCUAGCGGCGGACGGGUGAGUAAUGCUUAGGAAUCUGCCUAUUAGUGGGGGGACAACAUCUCGAAAGGGAUGCUAAUACCGCAUACGUCCUACGGGAGAAAGCAGGGGAUCUUCGGACCUUGCGCUAAUAGAUGAGCCUAAGUCGGAUUAGCUAGUUGGUGGGGUAAAGGCCUACCAAGGCGACGAUCUGUAGCGGGUCUGAGAGGAUGAUACGCCACACUGGGACUGAGCGACGGCCCAGACGCCUACGGGAGGCAGCAGUGGGGAAUAGUGGACAAUGGGGGGAACCCUGAUCCAGCCAUGCCGCGUGUGUGAAGAAGGCCUUAUGGUUGUAAAGCACUUUAAGCGAGGAGGAGGCUACUUUAGUUAAUACCUAGAGAUAGUGGACGUUACUCGCAGAAUAAGCACCGGCUAACUCUGUGCCAGCCGCCGCCGUAA